This 255-nucleotide ribosomal RNA is filed under the name uncultured bacterium. RNAcentral describes it as "partial 16S ribosomal RNA". It matches the Rfam family "Bacterial small subunit ribosomal RNA", at positions 524 to 776 of the family's 1533-position model. The record is from RNAcentral.
UACGUAGGGUGCGAGCGUUGUCCGGAAUUAUUGGGCGUAAAGAGCUUGUAGGCGGUUUGUCGCGUCUGCCGUGAAAUUUUCGGGGCUCAACCCCGAACUUGCGGUGGGUACGGGCAGACUAGAGUGUGGUAGGGGAGACUGGAAUUCCUGGUGUAGCGGUGAAAUGCGCAGAUAUCAGGAGGAACACCGAUGGCGAAGGCAGGUCUCUGGGCCACUACUGACGCUGAGAAGCGAAAGCAUGGGGGAGCGAACAGG